UAGGGAAUCUUCCGCAAUGGGCGAAAGCCUGACGGAGCAACGCCGCGUGAGUGAUGAAGGUCUUCGGAUCGUAAAACUCUGUUAUUAGGGAAGAACAAAUGUGUAAGUAACUAUGCACGUCUUGACGGUACCUAAUUAGAAAGCCACGGCUAACUACGUGCCAGCAGCCGCGGUAAUACGUAGGUGGCAAGCGUUAUCCGGAAUUAUUGGGCGUAAAGCGCGCGUAGGCGGUUUUUUAAGUCUGAUGUGAAAGCCCACGGCUCAACCGUGGAGGGUCAUUGGAAACUGGAAAACUUGAGUGCAGAAGAGGAAAGUGGAAUUCCAUGUGUAGCGGUGAAAUGCGCAGAGAUAUGGAGGAACACCAGUGGCGAAGGCGACUUUCUGGUCUGUAACUGACGCUGAUGUGCGAAAGCGUGGGGAUCAAACAGG
Molecule: ribosomal RNA, 429 nt
Filed under: Actinomycetes bacterium
Lineage: Bacteria; Bacillati; Actinomycetota; Actinomycetes
Description: Actinobacteria bacterium partial 16S ribosomal RNA
Rfam family: Bacterial small subunit ribosomal RNA
Source: RNAcentral